Small nucleolar RNA from Trifolium pratense (red clover), 224 nucleotides. RefSeq annotates it as small nucleolar RNA U3. The record is from RefSeq and is a predicted model, not a curated record. Lineage: Eukaryota; Viridiplantae; Streptophyta; Magnoliopsida; Fabales; Fabaceae. The transcript has a single exon.
ACGACCUUACUUGAACAGGAUCUGUUCUAUAGGAUCGUACUACUGUGUCCUUGAUUUCUAAGGAGACAGGAACAAACAUCUGGUGGAUGAAUCAAGACCGUGUGAUCAGAGCGUGAGUAACGGCUAGGAUGAAGCUCGUUUGCGAGAUUUCAUUCUCUGCUGUAGAUGAUCGUUCUCGGCCAGUCUCACCUGACCGGGGUGGUCACACGGUGUUCUGACAGACU